RNAcentral lists this ribosomal RNA (464 nucleotides) under Vreelandella stevensii. RNAcentral's name for it is "partial 16S ribosomal RNA". It matches the Rfam family "Bacterial small subunit ribosomal RNA", at positions 338 to 795 of the family's 1533-position model. The record is from RNAcentral. Lineage: Bacteria; Pseudomonadati; Pseudomonadota; Gammaproteobacteria; Oceanospirillales; Halomonadaceae.
CCUACGGUGGGCUGCAGUGGGGAAUAUUGGACAAUGGGCGAAAGCCUGAUCCAGCCAUGCCGCGUGUGUGAAGAAGGCCUUCGGGUUGUAAAGCACUUUCAGUGGGGAAGAAAGCCUUGGGGCUAAUACCCUCGAGGAAGGACAUCACCCACAGAAGAAGCACCGGCUAACUCCGUGCCAGCAGCCGCGGUAAUACGGAGGGUGCGAGCGUUAAUCGGAAUUACUGGGCGUAAAGCGCGCGUAGCGGUCUGAUAAGCCGGUUGUGAAAGCCCCGGGCUCAACCUGGGAACGGCAUCCGGAACUGUCAGGCUAGAGUGCAGGAGAGGAAGGUAGAAUUCCCGGUGUAGCGGUGAAAUGCGUAGAGAUCGGGAGGAAUACCAGUGGCGAAGGCGGCCUUCUGGACUGACACUGACGCUGAGGUGCGAAAGCGUGGGUAGCAAACAGGAUUAGAUACCCUAGUAGUC